UACGUAGGUCCCGAGCGUUGUCCGGAUUUAUUGGGCGUAAAGCGAGCGCAGGUGGUUUAUUAAGUCUGGUGUAAAAGGCAGUGGCUCAACCAUUGUAUGCAUUGGAAACUGGUAGACUUGAGUGCAGGAGAGGAGAGUGGAAUUCCAUGUGUAGCGGUGAAAUGCGUAGAUAUAUGGAGGAACACCGGUGGCGAAAGCGGCUCUCUGGCCUGUAACUGACACUGAGGCUCGAAAGCGCGGGGAGCAAACGGG
Molecule: ribosomal RNA, 252 nt
Filed under: uncultured bacterium
Lineage: Bacteria
Description: partial 16S ribosomal RNA
Rfam family: Bacterial small subunit ribosomal RNA
Source: RNAcentral